Drosophila simulans is the source of this 1430-nucleotide long non-coding RNA. RefSeq lists it as uncharacterized. The record is from RefSeq and is a predicted model, not a curated record. The transcript is spliced from 2 exons. NCBI's taxonomy places the organism in Eukaryota, Metazoa, Arthropoda, Insecta, Diptera, Drosophilidae.
GUUCUGUUUGUUUAGCUCUUUUUUUCUGCCAGCAACAUGAUCUUGUAUAUUUCGCAUUCCAGGCGCACAAUAAACUUGAAAGUUUUUUAUGAAUUUGGGCAUUUGUUCGUGCAUUUUUGCUUUUGAGACGUUGGCUUCGGCCUAAUUGGCAUUUUCAGCGCGUCUCCACCUCCGAUUCUCUGAUGAACUGGCGCAACGCACCCAAAACAUAUUUUAUAUGGUUUCGCCUUAUUGUUCUUGACAAUUUUGCAUGUCGAAGCCUAAAUGCGAAACUUUUUUCACCGCUUUCUUCUGCCAAAAAAAAGCAAAAAAAAAGAAAAAACAGAAAAAACGUCGAGUGUCUGUGCCUGUGCAAUCAUAAUGGUGCCAUAUCUCACCGAUUUGAGUCGGGUAUAUUCCGUAGUCGGUGCUGGGUGAAGCCAUAACAACUGAUUUUACGAGCAUGUUAGCAAUUUGAAAGUUUUUCGAUUUGUUAUGGGCAGAGCGACGCGUUUAAUGCUCUUAAAGGUGUGCGAACGAGCAGAUUAUGAUGUAAUUCAUGCAAAGUCGAAACUUUUGGGUGUUGGCAAUCCCGAUGAGUGCGAAUUUGGAAAACGGAAUGAAAUAAAUUCAUGGGGAUAAAGUCAUCGGGGGAUCUUUUAAAAAAGGGUAGUGCUCCCACAUUGGUUAAGGUCAGCUUAAAAAGAGUUCUGGAAAUUCGUGAAUCCAUAAAUUCCCCUGCCAUUACACCACAAUCUCAGAACUCUGUACUUUGCCCCGUUACCGUGAAAGACUUAAAAAAAAGGCAAUGAAACGUUCGCAGAAUGACACUUCAGUUUAAUGAACUGGCGACUCGCAAAAGUCUGGACAGAAAAAAAAACAAAAAAACAAAAACUGGAGCCAAGCUGAACUCGAAUGUCAAAGUCAGCGAAUCCCAACAAGCAAAGAACCCGGGGUCCCAUUACCAGUGCCCAAACCGUGGUAAUUCCCGAGCCAACUCCACCUAACUGCGCAUAAUUAAGAGUGAAAACCGCAGAAAAGAAAACAAUUUGCUGUCCGAUGGAAGUUGUCAAGCGGCGGAUCUGCGGCUUGGCCUGUUGGGAUUUGGCCGCCAGUUUGCCACGUUAUCAGCUGUGCGUGUCCUUGCUCCUAGCACUGCAACUCCCGCCUUUUUCGGUGGCAGGAUUUCGCUUUGAAUUCGGGCAGCAAUCGAGAGCAGACCCAAAUCGAGGGCUGGCCAUCAAAAGCGCAGCUGGAAAGCCAAACAUCGACUUAAUUAGGACCCGGCCUCUGGUGCAGCUUCAAAAGGAAAAUGCUAAAUGAAAAGAGGAAAACUCCUGCUGCUGCUAUUGAGCUUAACCCUUUCACUUCGGCUGUAAAAUGUUCACGUGUUUAAAUAAAUCUUCUCUCCAAUUACAUAAUUAAAGUAAUGUCCAAAGUAUUACAAUUAG